CCGCCACCGCCAUAACAACAACUUGAAAUGGUUUGCCUUUUUCUUCUCUCUUUACUCUGACAACAAACGAAUGUCAAUUAGUACCGUUGGCGCUAUUAACAAGACUGACCUUAAAUCUUCUCUGAGAGCAACAACAAUUGACAACUGCACUGGUUUCAUUCGUUGGGCUUUGCCACUUUGGAUGAGUGAACUUAGGAGGAUGGAGUGAAGUGCUGGUAAUGACUAGCCACCCAGGUAUACAGCAGGGUUAGCAAUCACCCACGGAGGAAACCAACAGAGUCGUUAGCGAGCAUUGACAAAAUAAUGUCUCUGUCGGCAAAUUAAUAAGGAGUUACCCACCAGCUGUCCACCCUCGAAGUUAAUGAGGAAGAUUAGUAAAGUUAAUGAAAGAUGGCUUGAGAGACACAACACGGUCAGGAUUUACUGUCUGUUCUCUACCUGUAAUGGAACAUGGAAAAUCAAGGUGAACUUGACCUCAAAACCCUGGCUUAAUAUGUGAGUGACAUCUGAUUUAGUUCCUUAUUUUUUAUUCCCUGUUGUUGUAUAUUUAUAUAUUUUGGAACUAGUUCUUGAAGUACAUAUAGAGCUAUUAACCCAUUAAGUCCCAUUGUCCUAUAAAUAGGACACUAAAUGUAAACAUUAAAUAAGCUAAUCACAUUGUCUCGGUGUCCUAUUUAUAGGACACUGAGUAUUUCCAUUUCUACGUGAAGUAAAGGAGUUUUAAUAAUUAUUUUUUCAUUUUCCAAUCAUCCAUAAAAAUUUUCAAUCAUCCAUAAAAAUUUAAAAGUAAUAUUCAGAAAUUUAAGUACUCUGGGACUUAAUGGGUUAAUAAUCUUUUCUAUUAUAGGUACAAGGCUGGAAAUUUAAUGGGAGGAAGCUAGUCAAAUACAUUGAUCCCAGUACUCAGCUGGUAUUUAUUCUAUUGACCCUGAAAGGAUGAAAGGCAAAGUUGACCUCGGCAGAAUUUGAACUCAGAACAUAAAGACAGGCAAAAUACCACUUACUAUUUUGCCAAGCAUAUUAAUCCAGAGAGCUGUACCAGGUUGCAGUCUUGAUUUGACUGCAGUUUCUAUACCUGGAGGCCCUUCAUAAUGCCAAUCACUCCAAGAGUGUAGCGGGUGCCUUUUACGUGUCACUGGCAUGGGUGCAUUUUACAUGCCGCUGGCACAGGUGUCUUUUAUGUGUCACUGCCAUGGGUGCCUAUCAUAUAUGGGUACAUUUUACAUGUCACUGGCCCUGGACUCAACUACGGUUUUGCUUGGUUUGAUGUGUCUUCUCAAGCACAGCAAAAUACCAAAGAUCUCAAUCACUUGUCAUUAUUUCCGUGAGACUCAACAUCCGAAGAUCAUGUUUCACCACCUCAUCCCAUGUCUUCCUGGGUUGUCCUCAUCCACAGCUUCCCUCCACAGUUAGAGAUCAGCACUUCUUAACACAUCACAUGAUCAUAGCCCUGUACUCUCUCUUGCACACCACAUCUAAUGCUUCUUGCACCCAAUUUUUCUCUCAAGAUCCUAACACUCUGUUGUACUUGUACACUGACAUUGCACAUCCAGCGAAAAAUUAAUCAUGUUACCUUGUGGCUUUGAGAUUUCAAUGAUGUGAUUGUAUAUUUUUAGAAUGGCAUUGUAGGAUAGGUGUGAGAUGCCAGAUCUAGCCAAUUUGAACACAAAACAUGCAGAAUAUUUUAGCCAGAUAUAACCACUUUAGGCGGCAAGCUGGCAGAAAUGUUAGCGUGCCGGGCAAAAUGCUUAGUGGUAAUUCGUCUGCUGUAAUGUUCUGAGUUCAAAUUCCACCGAGGUCGACUUUACCUUUCAUCCUUUCGGGGUCGAUAAAUAAAGUACCAGUUAUGCACUGGGAUUGAUGUAAUCGACUUAAUCCCUUUGUCUGUCCUUGUUUGCCCCCUCUAUGUUUAGCCCCUUGUGGGCAAUAAACGAAUAAGAUAUAACCAGUUUAAAUGCUCAAGUUACUGACAAGAUUGAAAAAAAUCACCUGACAUUAUCAGUUUGACAUUGUGAUGCCAACUUUGUGUGUGUGAAGGAAGUCUGUUACUAAUUAUAUGUAUAUGUAUGUAUAUGUAUGUAUAUACAUGUGUGUAUGCAUGUACAUAUCCGGCUGAGCACUGAAGCUGAUGUAAUUGACUUGCCACUCCCCUAAAAUUGUUAGUUUUGAAUCAAAAUUUGAAACUAUUAUCAUAAAGCAGUGUUUUUUUUUUUUUUUGUUGCCUUUCGUACUAUCAGAGUUGGUAAAGUAAACUACCAGUUAAGUAUUGUGAGUCAAUGUAAUCAACUGCUAGCCUUAUAGCUAAAUAUUUAAAAAAAUCCAUUAUUAUUAUUAUUAUUUAUUAUUAUUAUUAUUAUUAUUAUUAUUAUUAUUAUUAUUAUUAUUAUUAUUUACAUUAUUAUUAUUAUUAUUAUUUAUUAUUAUUAUUAUUAUUAUUAUUAUUAUUAUUAUUAUUAUUAUUAUUAUUAUUAUUAUUAUGACCUCCACCUUAGUGGAGGCAGCGGUAUUAUUGUUUUCAGUCGUGUUUCUUUCUUUGAUUGUUUGUCUGUCCAUGGACAAGAUAUCUCAAGAACCAAUGGAUGAAUUCUGAUGAAACUUCCAGGAAUAUUUGGCCUCAUGAUUGGCACGAUCUGAUUAAAUUUGGGGAUAGCAAACGUUUCUGCCAACUUGCCAUUUUUUCAUUAGCUUGACAUAUCUUAUCAAGUGUCACAAAUUUCCACAUCUCCCAGUCCCUCGUUAUUUUCCUCAGUGAGUUCAAAUUCUGCUGAGGUCAACUUUGCUUUUCAUCCUUUCAGGAUCAAUAAAAUAAGUACCAGCUGAGUACUGGGGGGGUCUUUGUAAUUGACUUAUCCCAUCCCCAGAAAUUGCUAGCAUUGUGCCAAAAUUUAGAACCAAUAUUCUGGAAUUAUUUAAAUUUGUUUUUAAAAGAUGUUUUAUUUUGACUUACACAAAGAAUUUUACUGUUUCUUUCUUUAAACAGUUCCUUUGCUCUCUUCCUCAUGAAGUUGUAAUAAUGUCAGCUACCAAAGAAAAUGGUCGUGAAGAAAAUGAAGAACCACGAAAAAAGGAAAAGAGAAAACCCAUCCUCAUAUCACUGGCUCUGUUCUAGUUAAAAAAAAAAAAAAUUGUAAAAAAAAAUGUUGAUUAAUUAAAACGUGAAUUGGUUUUUAUAGAGAAUAUUGAACUGGCUUUUCAUUAUUUGUCCUUCAAAUAACAACUGAGGAAUCACUUACAGAAUCUGGGAAAAUAUCAGAAAAGCCAAAGUUGAAGAGAAAAUAUUUACGCUAUCAUUAAGAUAUUUGUAUAUCAUUUUGUAUAAACAAAACAACUUGAUAUUGUAACUAGACAAAUAUCUGUUGUUUUUUUUUUAUGACCUUCUAGUUACACCAGAACACAUUUAAAUAUCUGUGCAUGUGUAUGUGUAUAUGUGUGUAUGUGUGUGUGUGUAUAUAUAUACCAUGGAGAGAAUUGUCAGUAAAUUCAUGUAACGACCUUCAUAAUUUAUAUGUAAUUUUCCACAUAACACUAUAUCUAUCAAUCUGUCUGUCUGUCUAUUUAUCUAGUUGUCUAUUUAUUCAUCUCUCCAUCAAUCCAAAUCUACUACUUCACACCCAUGUAAUAUAUAGAGUACAACUUUGCCUCUCUGACUCUGUCUGUCUGCCUGCCUGCCUGCCUGCCUGCCUGCCUGUCUGUCUGUCUGUCUGUCUGUCUCUCUCUCUCUCUCUCUCUCUGUAUAUAUAUUUACUUACUUUAUUCUAUGUAUUAAGCAAUCUCCCAUUUGUAAACACACACACACACACA
RNAcentral lists this long non-coding RNA (3801 nucleotides) under Octopus vulgaris (common octopus). The record is from RNAcentral. Lineage: Eukaryota; Metazoa; Mollusca; Cephalopoda; Octopoda; Octopodidae.